UAUGGAUGAGAAAGGUGUUCAAGUAAAAAAGGCUUUGUGGUUGUAAACAUCUAUCAGCAGGGAAGAAGGAUAAGUCAUGGUACCUGCAUAAGAAGAACGGCAUAACUAACUCCCUGCAAGCACCUUAAUUAAUAGGGAGCUAGCGAUAUCUGUAAUUAUUAGGUGUAAAUAAAUGGUUGGCAGUUUGUUUCGUAUGUCGUAUAAGUAAGCCGCUUAAUCAAGCAUGUACGGUCAGUAGGAGCAGAGUAAAGUGAAGUAGGAAAGAGUGAAAUUAAUCGUGUAGGGGUGGAAUAAGCAGAUAUCAAGAGGAACAAACAUGAGGAAGGAAGGUGUCUGUGUUGUAAGUAACGGUGAGGAGGGAAAGCAAGGGGAGGGAACAAGCUUAGAUAGCUAGCUAGUUCAUGCAGUCAAUAAUGGACAAUAGGUGUGGGGUCCAUUGCUUGGUUUCCGCGGUGCAGCUAAUACAUUAAGUACCCCUCCUCGUGAGUAGGGCGGCAACAAUAAAAAUAAAAAGAAUAGAUGGGGGGCGGCACAACAGGCGGAGCAUCAGGAUUAAUUAUUAUGAAACAAGAAGAACAUCAUCAAGACGUGACAUCUUCUUGAUACAAGUAGAGAUAUAGUUUCUCCUUUUGGGCGGCUUAACAGCAUGGUGCAUCGUGGUCGUCAUCAGGUGUCGUGAGAUGAUGGUUUAAUUACUGCAACAAGAGCAACCAUCGUUCCUAUGUAGUCAGCACGUAAUAGGUGGGGCAUUCAUGAGAGAAUGCCGGGGUAAAAUCCGAGGAAGGUGAGGAAGAAGUCAAAUUAUCAAUCCCCUUAAUUACUGGGCUUCCACCAUGGUACAAUGGCACAUAAAAAAGGUUGGGAUGACGUCAGGGGGAGGUAAUUCCCAAAAACCUGUUUCCGUUCGUAGUGGUCUAUCCAGACUGUAGCACACGCCGCCCGUAGAGUUUGAUCCUGCUCAGCACACCCGCCCGCGCCUCUCGCCCCUCCCAUUUCCCCC
RNAcentral lists this ribosomal RNA (1000 nucleotides) under Sinorhizobium sp. SeCo125a. RNAcentral's name for it is "bacterial SSU rRNA". It matches the Rfam family "Bacterial small subunit ribosomal RNA", at positions 378 to 1397 of the family's 1533-position model. Lineage: Bacteria; Pseudomonadati; Pseudomonadota; Alphaproteobacteria; Hyphomicrobiales; Rhizobiaceae. The record is from RNAcentral.